RNAcentral lists this ribosomal RNA (523 nucleotides) under Streptococcus sp. oral taxon 058. RNAcentral's name for it is "bacterial SSU rRNA". It matches the Rfam family "Bacterial small subunit ribosomal RNA", at positions 368 to 886 of the family's 1533-position model. Lineage: Bacteria; Bacillati; Bacillota; Bacilli; Lactobacillales; Streptococcaceae. The record is from RNAcentral.
GCAAUGGACGGAAGUCUGACCGAGCAACGCCGCGUGAGUGAAGAAGGUUUUCGGAUCGUAAAGCUCUGUUGUAAGAGAAGAACGAGUGUGAGAGUGGAAAGUUCACACUGUGACGGUAUCUUACCAGAAAGGGACGGCUAACUACGUGCCAGCAGCCGCGGUAAUACGUAGGUCCCGAGCGUUGUCCGGAUUUAUUGGGCGUAAAGCGAGCGCAGGCGGUUAGAUAAGUCUGAAGUUAAAGGCUGUGGCUUAACCAUAGUACGCUUUGGAAACUGUUUAACUUGAGUGCAAGAGGGGAGAGUGGAAUUCCAUGUGUAGCGGUGAAAUGCGUAGAUAUAUGGAGGAACACCGGUGGCGAAAGCGGCUCUCUGGCUUGUAACUGACGCUGAGGCUCGAAAGCGUGGGGAGCAAACAGGAUUAGAUACCCUGGUAGUCCACGCCGUAAACGAUGAGUGCUAGGUGUUAGACCCUUUCCGGGGUUUAGUGCCGCAGCUAAGCAUUAGCACUCGCCUGGGAGUACGAC